AAGAAGCAUUGGGGAGAGGUGAUUAGGCAGGACAUGACUAGAAUGCAGGUUACCGAGGACAUGACCCUUGAUAGGGGAGUCUGGAGGUCUAGAACCAGGGCUGUAGGCUAGGGGCUCAUGGAGUUCUUCGUACGCCUCUCCCGGGGUUGGGUGUGGAUAGUAGGGUUACCCAUAGAUGAUUAGUGUUUUAGCUUAUGUCCCCUUAUGGUCGUUAGUAUGGUAUAUACUGCUUGUUAUUAUUGCAUGCGACUGUAUUUAUGUUUCUUAUGUUUACAUAAUUACUUACGUUAUCUCUGCGGGAUUACUUAUGCUUUUGUUUCUAANNN
RNAcentral lists this long non-coding RNA (326 nucleotides) under Nicotiana benthamiana. RNAcentral describes it as "long non-coding RNA (NBEN_LNC039110)". Lineage: Eukaryota; Viridiplantae; Streptophyta; Magnoliopsida; Solanales; Solanaceae. The record is from RNAcentral.